AGUGUGCUAGCUUGCUAGAAUUUAGAUACAGGUGCUGCACGGCUGUCGUCAGCUCGUGUCGUGAGAUGUUGGGUUAAGUCCGCAACGAGCGCAACCUCGUGUUUAGUUGCUAACAGUUCGGCUGAGAACUCUAAACAGACUGCCUACGCAAGUAGGAGGAAGGUGAGGACGACGUCAAGUCAUCAUGGCCCUUACGGCCAGGGCUACACACGUGCUACAAUGGGGUAUACAAAGAGCAGCGAUACGGUGACGUGGAGCAAAUCUAGAAAAUGCCUCUCAGUUCGGAUUGUAGUCUGCAACUCGACUACAUGAAGUUGGAAUCGCUAGUAAUCGUAGAUCAGCAAUGCUACGGUGAAUACGUUCCCGGGUCUU
RNAcentral lists this ribosomal RNA (372 nucleotides) under uncultured Arcobacter sp. Its description in RNAcentral is "bacterial SSU rRNA". It matches the Rfam family "Bacterial small subunit ribosomal RNA", at positions 1007 to 1382 of the family's 1533-position model. The record is from RNAcentral. Lineage: Bacteria; Pseudomonadati; Campylobacterota; Epsilonproteobacteria; Campylobacterales; Arcobacteraceae.